Molecule: non-coding RNA, 933 nt
Organism: Salvelinus sp. IW2-2015
Lineage: Eukaryota; Metazoa; Chordata; Actinopteri; Salmoniformes; Salmonidae
Source: RefSeq, a predicted model, not a curated record
CUUGUGAGGCGAUCUGGAGACCUUUUCUCUAAACAAUUCCACAAAGAGGUUGUGACCAUCCCAGACUAUGACACUACUGGAGACUCAGAUACAAGCCCAGAAGCAGCUCCUAAAGAAGAGGGUGAGCUGCCCACGUGCCUGCUGUGUGUAUGUCUGACUGGGUCGGUGUACUGUGAGGUCUCCCCUGAGAUGACUGCAGUUCCAUCCCUGCCCAAGGAAACUGCAUAUCUCUACGCACGCUACAACAAAAUGACCAAAACCACCAACAAAGACUAUGCAGACAUUGUGAACAUCUCUAAAGUUGAUGGUCUUUAACGUUUUACUGCAACCUUGAGAAGAAUCGAUCUGAUUGGGAACCUAAUCUCUGAGAUAGAAGAUGGAGCUUUCUCAAAGUUUGCACUCCUUGAAGAACAACCAAGGGUGUAAAAUCAACUGCUUUUAAGAACAGUAAUAUCACCACGCUAUCGGAUGAGACCUUCUGCCAAGGCAACAAUACUCAGUACAUCAGAGCCAACAUGGAGGAGGUGAGACUGGAUGGCAACCCUCUAAUGCUGGCCAAGCAUCCCAACAGCUUUGUCUGCCUUAGGGCCAUGCCCAUUGGACCGUACCACUGAACCAGUGGGAUAUAGAGGACCAAAAUACUACAGACCUCAGUGACCUAUCCUCUCAUCCUCCUUUCAUUCAGUCUGUCAGUUACCGAUCCUCUCGUCCGCUCCUCCACCUCUCCUCUCCAGAAAUGAGAAAUGUGUUUGUUUUGUAAGUUACAAUUGAGUCUCUUAGGAUGUCUUGUCAAGUUCAUGAUUUGUUAAAUUGUUAUCUUAAACGACAUAACUAUAUGCACAAUACUCUUUACACUGUUUUUCCUCUAUUGUUUUAUAUUUCCAAUAGCAUAUGGAUAUUGUAUCAAUUGCAUUGAUCAACAUUUUAAGUAAU